UGCAUCAUGCGUGACCUCCCCA
RNAcentral lists this microRNA (22 nucleotides) under Ornithorhynchus anatinus (platypus). Its description in RNAcentral is "Oan-Mir-1421-P10_3p* (star (passenger))". Lineage: Eukaryota; Metazoa; Chordata; Mammalia; Monotremata; Ornithorhynchidae. The record is from RNAcentral.